CCAAAGGCUCUUUUCAGAGCCACCCACCUCUUUCUGAAAGACUUG
Dipodomys ordii (Ord's kangaroo rat) is the source of this 45-nucleotide non-coding RNA. The record is from Rfam. Lineage: Eukaryota; Metazoa; Chordata; Mammalia; Rodentia; Heteromyidae.